GACGAACGCUGGCGGCGCGCCUAACACAUGCAAGUCGAACGGUGACGAGAGCUUCGGCUCUCUGAUCAGUGGCGGACGGGUGAGUAACACGUGAGCAACCUGCCUAUCAGAGGGGGACAACAGUUGGAAACGACUGCUAAUACCGCAUAACGUCAUUGGAAGGCAUCUUCUGAUGACCAAAGAUUUAUCGCUGAUAGAUGGGCUCGCGUCUGAUUAGAUAGUUGGUGAGGUAACGGCCCACCAAGUCGACGAUCAGUAGCCGGUCUGAGAGGAUGAACGGCCACAUUGGGACUGAGAUACGGCCCAGACUCCUACGGGAGGCAGCAGUGGGGAAUAUUGCACAAUGGGGGAAACCCUGAUGCAGCGACGCCGCGUGAGUGAAGAGGUAUUUCGGUAUGUAAAGCUCUAUCAGCAGGGAAGAGAAUGACGGUACCUGACUAAGAAGCCCCGGCUAACUACGUGCCAGCA
RNAcentral lists this ribosomal RNA (468 nucleotides) under uncultured bacterium. Its description in RNAcentral is "bacterial SSU rRNA". It matches the Rfam family "Bacterial small subunit ribosomal RNA", at positions 28 to 513 of the family's 1533-position model. The record is from RNAcentral.